Molecule: ribosomal RNA, 559 nt
Filed under: uncultured Glomus
Lineage: Eukaryota; Fungi; Glomeromycota; Glomeromycetes; Glomerales; Glomeraceae
Description: SSU rRNA
Rfam family: Eukaryotic small subunit ribosomal RNA
Source: RNAcentral
AAUUGGAGGGCAAGUCUGGUGCCAGCAGCCGCGGUAAUUCCAGCUCCAAUAGCGUAUAUUAAAGUUGUUGCAGUUAAAAAGCUCGUAGUUGAAUUUCGGGGUUAGUAGGUUGGUCAUGCCUCUGGUAUGUACUGGUCUCACUGAUUCCUCCUUCCUUAUGAACCGUAAUGCCAUUAAUUUGGUGUUGCGGGGAAUUUGGACUGUUACUUUGAAAAAAUUAGAGUGUUUAAAGCAAGCUAACGCUUGAAUACAUUAGCAUGGAAUAAUGAAAUAGGACGUUCGAUCUUAUUUUGUUGGUUUCUAGGAUUGACGUAAUGAUUAAUAGGGAUAGUUGGGGGCAUUAGUAUUCAAUUGUCAGAGGUGAAAUUCUUGGAUUUAUUGAAGACUAACUACUGCGAAAGCAUUUGCCAAGGAUGUUUUCAUUAAUCAAGAACGAAAGUUAGGGGAUCGAAGACGAUCAGAUACCGUCGUAGUCUUAACCAUAAACUAUGCCGACUAGGGAUCGGAUGAUGUUAAUUUUUUAAUGACUCAUUCGGCGCCUUACGGGAAACCAAAGUGU